RNAcentral lists this ribosomal RNA (253 nucleotides) under uncultured bacterium. RNAcentral describes it as "partial 16S ribosomal RNA". It matches the Rfam family "Bacterial small subunit ribosomal RNA", at positions 524 to 776 of the family's 1533-position model. The record is from RNAcentral.
UACGGAGGGAGCUAGCGUUAUUCGGAAUUACUGGGCGUAAAGCGCACGUAGGCGGCUUUGUAAGUUAGAGGUGAAAGCCUGGAGCUCAACUCCAGAAUAGCCUUUGAUACUGCAUGGCUUGAAUCCAGGAGAGGUGAGUGGAAUUCCGAGUGUAGGGGUGAAAUUCGUAGAUAUUCGGAAGAACAUCAGUGGCGAAGGCGGCUCACUGGACUGGUAUUGACGCUGAGGUGCGAAAGCGUGGGGAGCAAACAGG